CCCAAGACUUGGAGAGCAUUCCAGAGCAAGCAUGACCACAUCAAGUCUGCUCCUUUUGGAUGUGUGAACUGUUACACCACAGUUUUGGUUUGCCUCAUGUCCAGCAUUGUUAUACCUGCAUGUGAUUCCUGGAGCUACUGCAGUCAUCUGAUACCUGGGGAGACCACCCUUGACUGGGUAUGUAUGUAUAGCAGGUGACAGAACCAUGUUCAUUAUAUUAGAUCAGAAACCAGAUGGGCUGCUCCAACCUGUGGGAAAAGGCUAAAACGCUGCUCCUUGAGAACAGGGUCAAGACUUCCACAGACCCAGCAAAAUUCCUUGCAUAUUAAAGGAACAGAGAAAGACAACUCAAGAUAAUGAUUUUCUAUGCUGGACGGGAGACUGGCAAAUACACAUUUUAUUCUGGCUGUGACGUUGAUGCUAUGGAGUUCAGGAAAAGUACGCUCAGUGGAUGUAGCAACAGAGGUCUGAUGCAGAAGCUGGUACAUAGCGGAUGCUUAAUAGCUUGAAUCAAUAAGGCUUUUCAUUCUGGAGUCAUAGAUGUGCAGUCACCGCCCACAGUCAGGGAAGAGAAAUCAGCCACUAACCUGGCAGCAAAACUCUUGCUUCUUGAUGAACUUGUGUCUCUGGAGAAUGAUGUAAUUGAAACAAAGA
Acinonyx jubatus (cheetah) is the source of this 654-nucleotide RNA transcript. RefSeq lists it as uncharacterized. The record is from RefSeq and is a predicted model, not a curated record. The transcript has 8 exons. NCBI's taxonomy places the organism in Eukaryota, Metazoa, Chordata, Mammalia, Carnivora, Felidae.